RNAcentral lists this ribosomal RNA (622 nucleotides) under uncultured archaeon. Its description in RNAcentral is "bacterial SSU rRNA". It matches the Rfam family "Archaeal small subunit ribosomal RNA", at positions 196 to 820 of the family's 1478-position model. The record is from RNAcentral.
CCGGUGCCUUAGGAUUGGUCUGCGGUCUAUCAGGCUGUAGUGGGUGUAAUGGACCCACUAGCCCGUGACGGAUAUGGGCCUUGAGAGAGGGAGCCCAGAGAUGGACUCUGAGACAUGAGUCCAGGCCCUACGGGGCGCAGCAGUCGCGAAAACUUCGCAAUGGGGGCAACCCCGACGAGGGAAUUCCAAGUGCUAGCACUUUGUGUUAGCUGUUCUUCUGUCUAAAAAACAGGAGGAGUAAGGGGCGGGUAAGACGGGUGCCAGCCGCCGCGGUAAUACCCGCGCCCCAAGUGGUGGUCGAUAUUAUUGAGCCUAAAACGUCCGUAGCCGGUCUUCUAAAUCCUUGGGUAAAUCGGGCAGCUUAACUGUCCGAAGUCCGGGGAGACUGGGAGACUUGGGACCGGGAGAGGUCAGAGGUACUUCUGGGGUAGGGGUAAAAUCCUGUAAUCCUGGAAGGACCACCGGUGGCGAAGGCGUCUGACUAGAACGGAUCCGACGGUGAGGGACGAAGCCCUGGGGCGCAAACGGGAUUAGAUACCCCGGUAGUCCAGGGUGUAAACGCUGCGGGCUUGGUGUUGGGGGUCCUUAGUGGGCGCCCAGUGCCGGAGAGAAGUUGUUAAGC